UCAGAUAGAAGGUCUCUCGCAGCGGCCUGAGUUACUGACUCAGCCCGCUAAAAAAACCGACCUCACCAGUCGGUUUUUUUUA
RNAcentral lists this antisense RNA (82 nucleotides) under Pluralibacter gergoviae. RNAcentral describes it as "Enterobacter gergoviae ArsR-gov region gene B". It matches the Rfam family "ArsR-gov region gene B". Rfam says of the family: arsR-gov region gene B is transcribed opposite of dinQ (translates into a toxic single transmembrane peptide) with 30 complimentary nucleotides. AgrB appears to repress accumulation of dinQ by RNA interference and counteracts its toxicity. The record is from Rfam by way of RNAcentral. Lineage: Bacteria; Pseudomonadati; Pseudomonadota; Gammaproteobacteria; Enterobacterales; Enterobacteriaceae.